Molecule: long non-coding RNA, 245 nt
Organism: Fukomys damarensis (Damara mole-rat)
Lineage: Eukaryota; Metazoa; Chordata; Mammalia; Rodentia; Bathyergidae
Exons: 3
Source: RefSeq, a predicted model, not a curated record
CUCUUUGAACCAGACAGGGUGUGACCAUCUGUUUGACAAGGAAAUCACCUUACAUUUUCAUUACCCAAAAGAUCAUGGAAGCAUGGUCUUCGCAGGAACUUCGGUCUUACUGAGGGCUCACGGGCGGUCGGAGUUCAAUGGAGGAAAGAAAGGAUCCAUAGCUGCAGAGACAUGAUCCAUGUGGGAGGACGCAGAGACACUCAACCUGGUUUAGACAGCGCACCAUAUAUACGUGUACAGAAACA